Molecule: ribosomal RNA, 122 nt
Filed under: Pteropus alecto (black flying fox)
Lineage: Eukaryota; Metazoa; Chordata; Mammalia; Chiroptera; Pteropodidae
Source: RNAcentral
GUAUACGGCCAUGCCACCCUGAACGUGCCUGAUAUUGUCUCAUCUCGGAAGCUAAUAAGCAGGGUCGGGCCUGAUUAGUACUUGGAUGGGAAACCACCUAGGAAUAACAGGUGCUGUAGGCG